Molecule: ribosomal RNA, 402 nt
Filed under: bacterium
Lineage: Bacteria
Description: partial 16S ribosomal RNA
Rfam family: Bacterial small subunit ribosomal RNA
Source: RNAcentral
UGGGGAAUUUUGCACAAUGGGGGAAACCCUGAUGCAGCGACGCCGCGUGAUUUAGAAGGCCUUCGGGCUGUAAAAAUCUUUUUUACGGGAUGAAAAUGACAGUACCGUAAGAAUAAGGUCCGGCUAAAUACGUGCCAGCAGCCGCGGUAAUACGUAUGGACCGAGCGUUGUCCGGAAUCAUUGGGCGUAAAGGGUACGUAGGCGGCCUAGUAAGUUAGAAGUGAAAUAAUAUAGCUCAACUAUAUAAAGCUUUUAAAACUGCUAGGCUUGAGAGAUGGAAGGGAAAGUGGAAUUCCUAGUGUAGCGGUGAAAUGCGCAGAUAUUAGGAAGAAUACCGGUGGCGAAGGCGACUUUCUGGUCAUCAUCUGACGCUGAGGUACGAAAGCGUGGGUAGCAAACAGG